Molecule: transfer RNA, 96 nt
Filed under: Sophora flavescens
Lineage: Eukaryota; Viridiplantae; Streptophyta; Magnoliopsida; Fabales; Fabaceae
Also listed under: 2 other names
Description: tRNA-Gly
Source: RNAcentral
UCAUUUUUAUAGAACAAUGCGAGAUCAAUUUCUUUCCAAGAGAUGGGCUGAAGAGUUAGUCGGAUUGAGAUUGAGUUCGAAGCCUAGAGAAAUGAG